GUCCGGCUAGCUCAGUCAGUAGAGCAUGAGACUUCUAAUCUCAGGGUCGUGGGUUCAUGCCCCACAUUGGGCA
This is a non-coding RNA of Peromyscus leucopus (white-footed mouse), 73 nucleotides long. The record is from the annotation of a RefSeq genome assembly. Lineage: Eukaryota; Metazoa; Chordata; Mammalia; Rodentia; Cricetidae.